Molecule: transfer RNA, 78 nt
Filed under: Klebsiella phage vB_KpnM_Potts1
Lineage: Duplodnaviria; Heunggongvirae; Uroviricota; Caudoviricetes
Also listed under: 1 other name
Description: tRNA-Thr
Rfam family: tRNA
About the family: Transfer RNA (tRNA) molecules are approximately 80 nucleotides in length. Their secondary structure includes four short double-helical elements and three loops (D, anti-codon, and T loops). Further hydrogen bonds mediate the characteristic L-shaped molecular structure. tRNAs have two regions of fundamental functional importance: the anti-codon, which is responsible for specific mRNA codon recognition, and the 3' end, to which the tRNAs corresponding amino acid is attached (by aminoacyl-tRNA synthetases). tRNAs cope with the degeneracy of the genetic code in two manners: having more than one tRNA (with a specific anti-codon) for a particular amino acid; and 'wobble' base-pairing, i.e. permitting non-standard base-pairing at the 3rd anti-codon position.
Source: RNAcentral
UGCCGGUUUAGCUCAGUAGGUAGAGCGCUUCACUUGUAAUGAAGAUGUCGGCGGUUCAAUUCCGUCAACCGGCACCAA